Molecule: non-coding RNA, 266 nt
Organism: Pelobates cultripes (western spadefoot toad)
Lineage: Eukaryota; Metazoa; Chordata; Amphibia; Anura; Pelobatidae
Source: the annotation of a GenBank genome assembly
AUUUUGGGCGUCUACCUCGGGGCAGACUGGUCAGAAGUUCCCCGCGAUGGCAAUCCAAAACUACCGAACAAAUGUGGGUGAUUUUUUUUGUAUAUAUUGUUUGCCCAGAUCCAAGCUAUCCAGGAAUUUUGUGGGGUUUCCAUGUAUGUUGGGGGUACUUUUGGGGUGUUGUAAAAUUGUACCUUUUUCUGUGCCUGGAGAUAAUUGAGUUCCUGACUCAAUUAUCUCUGAGGCACAGAGGAGGAGUUUACUGACUGUAAUAAUUU